Molecule: non-coding RNA, 24 nt
Filed under: Mus musculus (house mouse)
Lineage: Eukaryota; Metazoa; Chordata; Mammalia; Rodentia; Muridae
Source: RNAcentral
UCCCGGUGCAAUGAGACUAGCCUC